This 22-nucleotide ribosomal RNA is filed under the name Histoplasma capsulatum var. capsulatum. Its description in RNAcentral is "partial 28S ribosomal RNA". The record is from RNAcentral. Lineage: Eukaryota; Fungi; Ascomycota; Eurotiomycetes; Onygenales; Ajellomycetaceae.
GUUGACCUCGGAUCAGGUAAGA